Molecule: ribosomal RNA, 425 nt
Filed under: Xerotricha gonzalezi
Lineage: Eukaryota; Metazoa; Mollusca; Gastropoda; Stylommatophora; Hygromiidae
Description: partial 16S ribosomal RNA
Rfam family: Bacterial large subunit ribosomal RNA
Source: RNAcentral
UUCUGCUCAAUGGUAAGACUAAAUAGCCGCAGUACCUUGACUGUGCAAAGGUAGCAUAAUCAUUUGGCUUAUAAUUGAAGUCUGGCAUGAAGGAAUAAAUGGGUGGCAACUGUCUUUUAGGGUUGACUAGAACUUACUUAGCAAGUGAAAAUUCUUGUAGUUAAAUAAUAGACGAGAAGACCCUAGAAAUUUUAUAUAAAAUAACAUAGUAUUAGCAUUAUUUUGUUGGGGCGACAGAAUAACAAGAAACUUAUUUUAUAAGUUUGAACUAACUGAUGAGAUAAAGUAAAUUACUCUAGGGAUAACAGCAUAAUCUAUAAGAGUUUGUGACCUCGAUGUUGGACUAGGGAUUUUAUUGUUUAGAAGACACUAAAACAGGCUCUGUUCGAGCUAUUUACCCCUACGUGAUCUGAGUUCAGACCGGA